Long non-coding RNA from Passer domesticus (house sparrow), 7534 nucleotides. RefSeq lists it as uncharacterized. The transcript has 3 exons. Lineage: Eukaryota; Metazoa; Chordata; Aves; Passeriformes; Passeridae. The record is from RefSeq and is a predicted model, not a curated record.
GGGAACAAUUGUUAUACAGAUUGCACUGAUAGCUCUUUGGCCUUCCUUUGAAAGAAUACAGAUACCACAUCAUCCUUGAGCCCACCUGCAACAAACAGCAUAAAGGAAUGGUGGGAUACUGAAACGAGUGUGAAGCGACCAAAACUAACAAAGUCUCUCUGAGAGGAUCUGUGCCUCCAUUGAGCUUGGAAAUAGCAAGUGCAAACGAUUUAGAAAAGAAUGGUAAUUCCCUGAAGCCUCAAAUUGUUCUGUUUCUGAACUGGUCUCUGGCAGUGUCUUCCAUGGUAGGGGGGAUGACAGCCUAAGGAAGCAGACUUUUCUGAGCUCCCUCCUCAGUAAAGAGAUGGGAACAAGCUCCCCCAGAAGGCACCAGGAGCAUCCAAAUCUUGCUUUCUGUCCCGGAUGGCCCUGCAGAGGUGCCCAUCUGACUCCAGCCAUGAGAGGUGCUGUGAAGACCCGGCUUACUGUGCUACAGAUAGCGUUUACAACCACCACCCCUCCACCCACACCUGCUUCAAGCCCUACCCAGAGCUAAGACUCUGGGCUUUAGAUGAGGAGGGGAGCAAGGUACCUCUGAAAAAUGAAUUGGGAAUCCCAGAAUGAGCAAGGUUGAAAAGAAUUACAUUGGAUCACCUCUCUGCUCAAGGAGGGUCAUCCUGGAACACAUUGCAUAGGAAUGUGUCCCAAUGGUUCUUGAAUACUUUUUUACUGGAUAUCAUCACGGUGUUGUGCUUUGUGUUGAGUGCUGAAAGUAAAGAGCAAGUAGAUGAAAGUAGCAAGCCAAAAUAUGAAAUGGCAUUUUUUUCCCUUUCACUGUCUUUCAAAACUAUUUUAAGUUUUGCUCUAUUAAAUACUGUCACUAUUCCUUUCUGUUUUACUUAUGAUUGUGAUGGGGUGAGAUCAGACUCUGGAUCAAACCUUUGAAAUCUUUGCAUUUGCCAAGAAACCAUUGUAAUGAUUCUCAAACAAUUCAAGAAAAGCCACUAGCCCAAUGUACUGAAAGCACCAUCAGUGAGUUUGUGCACUGUGCAGAUGUGCUUAGGGCUGGGUGUGUGUCCUGGGCUGUGUGGGUGCUUGGUUUAACCUGCCAUAUGGAAGAAAAGAGCCUGUGAUCAGGCUCUUCUGUACUCUCAGAAGCUUGUACAAGAGGGGUGGACCACUGCCAGGCCUGUUCCUCUUAAAAAGUGCUUGUAAGAUAAAAAAGCAAAAGUAUUAUGGUACAGAUAAUAAGGAAAUGGGUUUGUGGAGUCCAAGGCUGCCUGCACUUUGAUUUGGCCACUUACCUUGUUUUUCUUUUUGCCAUUACAGAAGAGGUAAUAAACAGAGAUGAAAUGUAAACUUAUUUUCUGUGAUAAACAGAAAAUAAGUUUACAUUUCAUAAGGGAGCCUGAGUUCUCUAAGAACACAUUGAUUCAGCCCAGCAGAAUUUUACAUCUCUCUCCUCACUGAUGCCAUUAUCAGUCCCCCAGAUCAGUGCAUGUUACCCUUUUGCAAUAUAGAGCACUGAUUGUUUUUGAAAUGUUGAUGCAGUUUGUCAAAGCAAUGAGGUUGUUCUCAUUUAUGAGAAGAUUUCUUUCUACAACUAGAUUAGUGCAGAAAUGCAGAGGAAGCCUUCAGAAAGCAAUAACUGAAGCUCAGUGCCUUUCAUGUGCCUGUAUUUUUUAAGAUUAGUACACAUUACUGUCAGCAACUUUUAUACCUGAGGAAUCAGACAAAACAUUGCAGGAAAACACACUAAAGCUUAUAAGGAGAAAGGAAUAAGUGGAACUGUAAUGGUUAUUGUUUUUUUAAUGUCUAUCUUUAAGAAAAUUCCUCUUUGUGACAUCUCUAUCUCUACCAAUAUUCCCCAGCAGGAAAACUAUUUUUGUCUAUUAAUAAUAUAUGUGCUAUCAAUAUUGACUCCUUUGUUAAUAAAGCAAAAAUCAAUGAAGCUGAAGUCAGGGAUACUUUCGUUUCUAUUAGAGUUUCAGCAUGAUGUAAGAUGAGUUUUCUUUUACUGAUUAAGACAUCUGAGUCUGAAAUUCAGGUGAUUUUUGCAAGGGGAGAAUUUAUUGCUUCAAUAAUCAUACUAAGUAUUCCCAUUAAAAAAGAAUAACUUAGUUUUCUGAUGUCUCUGUGUAAAUUUCAGGGGGGAAAAUGGUGAGAUAGGAGAGAUGUGGCUGCCUAGUGCUGCAGGCAGGGAUGAUUAGUUUCAUACUUAUUUUUCAAGUGGUACAUCAUGCUAUCAAACUUGCUAAACACUCUUGAGAGCAGGAGACAGGGCAAAAAAGGCUUGUAAACCCCCUCACACACUUGAAAUGGUAUUGUCAAAAUUUCCAGCCUUUGGAGUCUCUGAAAAUGGUAGAAUAUUAUUGGAAAAUUAUCUUAACUUUUCUACAGACCUUCAGAUACCAUAAAUUACCAUCUUCCUACAGUAGUAGCAGUUUAUGUCACUUUAGGAUUUGUUCUCUGUGUUGUAAACCAAACCACUAGAUUUCUGAGUUCAAGCAACUUUCUAUUUAAAGGUUGGGUCUAAAGUAGUGGUCACAAAAUGAACAGUCCCUGUUAAAUUCAAGCUCUGUGUGUGUGUGUUCACUUAUCAGAAUACCUGAAAUCACUUAAGACUUCUCUCCUUUCUGACCAGUAACACCACCAGCUAAUUAUUUCUGAAGAGAGAUCCCUCAAGAGCAGGCUGACAUCUGUGCCACAUAUUGACUGCUCUAUUAGGAGCCUACUGUUGCAUGCAGUCCAUGUCUGAUCAGAUUUCAUGUGCCUUGAAAUCCAGGCAACCUGGAAUGGGAUCUCUUAGGCAGUUAAGUUGCAUCAAAUAUUUAAACAUAGAGUUUGACAGCAUCCAUUAGGUCUCUUAAAGAAUCUCUCUUCUUCCUGUUGGAACUAACCACACAGCUUAACAAUUGUAUGACUUUUACAAUGAGUAACCCUUUCUGCUUCCUGUGUCCUCCAAGAAUAAUUUUUCAUGGUAGUUUCCAAUGUUUCCACAAUACAGCCAGCAAUUUCCAUGAAAGUUUCUAAUCCUAUUUUCACUGAAGGCAAUGUCACCAAAAUUAGUUUUGUACUAAUUUUAAAAGAGGAAAGAAAGGAGAAGGAAACUAAUAAUUUAUAGCACAGAGAUUUAUGAACAAACCUCGAUAAAGCAAAUAAAAAAUUGUAUCUAUUUUUCAGUAGAAUCUGAGUGCAACAAGCAAAGUACUUUAUUGCAAGACCAUCUUGGUCUAGUACCAAUUCACCAGAACCCUGGAAGGGGGCCAGUGGUGCACUGCCAGCUAGUGGAAUGAAUUCCAGCACAAAGGAGUUAAAUAACUUUCUUGUGGCCAUGACUGAUUUCAAUGGCAAAGCUGAGGACUGCAGCCAGGUUUUGUGGCUGUCAGUGCUGUCUUUAAAUUGGUAAUGUUGUCUUCUAGUUAUGGAAAAUACCAUAGUAUCAGUGUUGCUCCAGUUUGGCUCUAGCUGAAGUCAGUUAAUAUUAAGUCCAUACUCCAUAUACAAAAUAAUAAUACCAUAUUCAAAUGGCACUUAACCUUCCUAGGAAGGUCUGCACCACUCAAUGAUGAAAACCCUCUGCAUUGUGUCUGAUUUCUGAUUUUUGCUUAUAUAAAUAUUAAUAGAGAAAUAUUUAUUCAAGAAAAAAAUAUUCCUUUAUGCAUAUCCUUCUGUCUGUUUUUGAAAGCUGUUCCCUCCUAAGGUUUUGCAAGUCUCUGAAAAAAACCAACUUUCAUAGUGUUUGCCACAUAGUCUUCUCACAUUUAGCAUCUGCUUUAAAUUAAUGUCCUGAUAAAUUAUUCUACUUCAAAAAUUAUUCAUCUUUCUUUAUUCUGUUGUUAUUUAGGCCAUUUUCACUUUGUGAUUGCAAUAGGAUGGUAUUUUAAAUAAGAAAGCAGAGAUAAAUUGUGCAGUCUUAUAAUUUUUGCUGGAUCUUUGGUAGUCUCUUGAUGUGACAUUGUGAUAACUUUGAAGUAACUUUCAUGCUGGAAUUAAAAAAUUUCAGGGGGUGUUGACAUAGAACAUUUGUACACAAAAUUAUGCUAUAACAGAAAGUGUGCUGUUAUAUGACGAUAGCCAAAAAAGGAUGACAAAUUACACUAGAAUCAUAAAUAAUGAGAUGGGAAGUUUUUUUUUAAUGUGAGAAAAACUGAUAUGUUGCUUUUCUUAAAGAAACAUUUUUCUGAAGAAAUGUAGUUUUAUGAUUUAUUUCAAAUAAAUGAAUACUGGGGGGCAGUAUUGAUCAUAUAUGAAUGACUGUCAUGGUUCUAACUCCACUGAAACUUCUAUCCUACAGGUAACUUCAGAUGGCAACGCAAUUUUAAGAGGCAGUGUUGGAGGAGAAAGGUGUCGGAAGGGUAUGAAGGUGAUGACCCUGAUGACACAAGGUAUAAUAUUUGGCCAGUAAAAAUUACCUACUUCUUGAUCUCUGUGGUCAGACUGUAGGAAACACUUUGGAGAGAGCUCUGGGACUGUGAGCAGAUCUGUGAGGAAGCGGAAUGUAUCCACUGCUUAACAUACUGCCCUUACCUGAGGGUGCACCUUGCUAACUUCUCCUGAGGUUUCCUUUGAAGGGAUGUAGCCUCCAUCCUCAUGGAGCUUUGACACUGGAUGUGUGUGGCUGAGCAGCCUUAGAGGAAGAAGAGGACAUAACAGGGGUGAUGGCUGCCAGCUCCAGCAAGCAACCUGCAUUUCAGUGUGAUGAAUGAACAGCUCUUGGGGCUGCUGUAGAAGACACCACAGGUCCAUGGGAUAACCAUGGGACACUCAUGGUCCAUGAGCCUUCAUGAUAAGCUGUUCUCCAUGCUCUACAGAGCAAUUUCUGUGAGAGCAGGAGCUCUUCUGUAUAAUUCAUAUUGAAGGGUUGCUUGCCUGUGUGUGCUCUAAGUUGAAAUCAAGUCAGGUUUUUGUCUAAUCAUUGGUAAACAGCUUUUUUUUCUUUCUUUUCACUUUUUUUUCCAUUUUUUUUUCUCCAGCUAAUACAAACUUGACUGAUUUUCCCUCCCAAAGGAAGAUGUCUGUGGUUUCUCACAUAUAUAAAGCUGUGGAUGAUAAACAGAAAGAUAUAUAGCACCAAUGCAUUUAUUCAAGGGGAAAAAAAACCCCUGCAAUCAUACAAAUUUUACCACUGGAAACAAAUACUUUAAUAAAGGGUCAUACUUAAUACCUUCUGAAACUGGCAUUUUCAAAGGUACAACAACCUUCUGGACACAGGUUAGGGAUAAGUUACAAAGGUCAUGUGGGGACAGAGAAAUAUCUUUUGUCAGUACAGUCACCCCAAGCAAAUCAACAGAACCAGGUUCCUUUGUUAUUCAGAAUUUCAUCUCUGCCCUCUUCACCUUGAUCUCUGCAGCUUUCUCACCUUUCCCCCAUGUCCACAGCUACACUCACAUGUCUGCAAACCUCCCACCUUCCCCAUCUGCACUCUCCUCUUCAGCCUGGCUCUGUGUUUGCCACACGCCUAAGGAAUCAGCACAAGGCAUAAUCUGCUCCUUUCCUCGCUCUCCGACGCUGCUGUGGAGAUGCAGUCUCCUCCUCACCUGUUAUCCUUUGCAUGUUCUUGACUUGCCCAGUACUCUAGGAAACAAAUCUCCCUUUGACAUCUUGAUACUGGAACUGGAAUGUUGCUUUCUUGUCAACAUACAAGUCUUAUCAAAUCUUCUGACAUGAUUCAAAGUUUUAUGAAAUGGGUGAAUCUCAAGAUAAUUGAUCUCACUUUUACCACUCAGAGUGAACUGUGUAGUGUAUAUUGUAUCAUCCUGUCCUCCCCCAGCUAAAAGCCAUUAUUCACAAAAGUAUUUCUGUCUUGGUUGCACUGCUGUACAUCAUAAGAUCCAUUCCCUUUUUUUGUUUGUAUCUGGUUUUGCCUAAAGUCUUCCAGACUCCAGGUUUUGCUUUGUUUUCCUUCUCUGAGAAAUUUCACUUUAGCUUCUCUUUACUUUUGAAGCUCUUCUGCUAGUGCCCUGCUUCAUGAUCUGAACAACAAUGACCUUUGUGAAAGCAAACAAUUUUUCAGUCUUUGCUUGGUAAAGAACACAUUGAAGAGCAGUAUUCCAUUUCCUCUGAAAAUGUCUGGUUUUUUCACCUGUGAAACUUUUAUCAAAAGAAAUGGAGCACUUCUUUAAUUUCCAGUUUCUUAAUGCAUCUUAGUUUUUUGCCACUGCUGCAUGCAGCCUGAAUUACCCUGCACUUCUGAGAGAUUUCAUAUCAUGCACUAAAGAGAACCAGCAAAUACAGUGACAGCUUCAAAUACAUUGAAACAUUGGAAAAGCACAGAAGAAAAUAAUUACCAUUUUAUUUGUGUCAUUAGGCUAGACUGACACAGCUCCUUUCAGCAUACCAUCUGUCUUAGAUUGAAAUGGAAAAGUUUCUUAUUAAAUGAUGCAUUUGCAAGGGGUUCACAGCUGCAGAAAGAACAAAAUCUUUUAACAUCUGUUCAAUCUGCAGAGAUCUGAACCUAAGGCACCUUUGAAAGAAUAUUCUUGAAAUAGUGGUUUACUUCAGUGCCAGAACGGGUUGUUCAUUACUGUUGUGCAUUUGCAAUUCUACAUUUAAUAAUGGUGUUAUCAAACGGGACUGUGGAAAGAACACCCACUGGACAGAGUGGGCUUGUAUGACCUGAGAAGGCUUUCAAGUAUCUCCAGGCUUUUUAGCUUCCCAAGUACACUCCAGGUUUUCAAACAUAUAUGAUGUGAGAGCUUGAAAUUUUGACAGCUGUAAGGAGGCUGUGACUCUGAAAAGAGAAGGACACUAUGAGAUCAGCAACACUGCUUAGUAAUGGAUCUUGCUUUGCCACCAGGCAGUGAUAAAUGAUAGUAACAAUUGCAGCAUAUGUUCAGUCAGUAAUGAAUGCAUUUCAGACCACAACAGUUUUUGCUCUUGUCAGGUUUCCACUGUGUUUGUUCACUGAAGAGAAUGAUGAGUUUACUUUUACUUGAGCAUUCACCUCAAAUGUGUUUGUGUUUAAUAAUCUCUUUGUUUGAAGCACAGGAAAUGACUGCGUGCCAAAAAAAGGACUAAAUAUUUGGAUAGCAGUCCAGAAAGGUCAUGCUAUUAUGUGCAAGGAUAAAGAUCAUCCAUCUGUGAUCAGCUGUCUUAUUUAAAAAGCAAAUAAAAUGGCCACCUCCAGAUAUGAUUAAUAUGUCUGGUAACCAGGCCACGUGUGCAGGGCUGCUCCAGAACUAGGACACAGCAAAGCUGCUGCUGUGCCACACAAACACAGUUAAUCCAGCAGGUCCAGCAUUUGUCUAGACUGACAGGGAUGCACAGAUUUAUAGUAUGGACAUGCAUAAUAACACUGACACAUCUGGAUCUUUGUGUUCUGCUGGCCAAAAAGGCCUGGCUGCCCAGUACUGCAGGUUUUGGGUCAGUGAGACCCACUUUGAUAUGAAGACACUGGAGGUGUGGGCAGGCAGCUGUCUUUGGCAUCAGAAGGUUGGGAGCUGCAGCAAAACCACCUCAAACCCGUGGGACUGAACCCAGACUGCAUUGGAAGUUGGACCAAGUAUGUGGGGCAGCAGUGGAGUAGUAAAAUCCUAUUGCUCAGUAGGAGAAG